GGGAUUGCCCUAGUAACGGCGAGUGAAGCGGCAACAGCUCAAAUUUGAAAUCUGGCCCUUGCGGUCCGAAUUGUAAUUUGUAGAGGAUGCUUUUGGUGCGGUGCCUUCUGAGUUCCCUGGAACGGGACGCCAGAGAGGGUGAGAGCCCCGUACGGUUGGACACCUAGCCUAUAUAUAGCUCCUUCGACGAGUCGAGUAGUUUGGGAAUGCUGCUCUAAAUGGGAGGUAAAUUUCUUCUAAAGCUAAAUACCGGCCAGAGACCGAUAGCGCACAAGUAGAGUGAUCGAAAGAUGAAAAGCACUUUGAAAAGAGGGUUAAAUAGCACGUGAAAUUGUUGAAAGGGAAGCGUUUGCGACCAGACUUUUUCCAGGCGGAUCAUCCGGUGUUCUCACCGGUGCACUUCGUCUGGUUUAGGCCAGCAUCGGUUUUCUUAGGGGGAUAAAGGCUUGGGGAACGUAGCUCUUUCGGGAGUGUUAUAGCCCCUUGCGUAAUACCCCUCGGGGGACCGAGGAACGCGCUCUGCAAGGAUGCUGGCGUAAUGGUCGUCAACGACCCGUCUUGAAACACGGACCAAGGAGUCGAACAUUUGUGCGAGUGUUUGGGUGUUAAACCCUCACGCGUAAUGAAAGUGAACGGAGGUGAGAGCCUUAGGGUGCAUCAUCGACCGAUCCUGAUGUCUUCGGAUGGAUUUGAGUAAGAGCAUAACUGUUCGGACCCGAAAGAUGGUGAACUAUGCGUGGAUAGGGUGAAGCCAGAGGAAACUCUGGUGGAGGCUCGCAGCGGUUCUGACGUGCAAAUCGAUCGUCAAAUCUGCGCAUGGGGGCGAAAGACUUAUCGAACCAUUAAAAACCAGCGGUAAAUUUGAUUUACUAGGUGGUUAAGAGGGGCCCCGCGAGGGGUACUACCCUAGAGUCUGGGAGGACCUACCCUAUAGCUACCCUGUAGCCUUAGGGUAACCCCCUCCCGACCGACACCGCUAAAUUGCGGGGACGUCCUAUUAGAAGGUCGCAAGCUACCGCCGGGCGCUGAAAAGCGUGCCCGGCACCAAGAAUAGCGCUCUUGGGUAUGGUAAAAACGCUUGCGAUAGCGGAUGACCUGCAGCCAACCCCGUCGUAGGGGAGAGUUCACUGACUAAACAGCGGUGGGUCGGCGUUCGUUACGUGACGUCGGCCUAAGACAUAGUCGAUCCAGGCCCUGAAAAGG
Molecule: ribosomal RNA, 1203 nt
Filed under: Hypoxylon trugodes
Lineage: Eukaryota; Fungi; Ascomycota; Sordariomycetes; Xylariales; Hypoxylaceae
Description: partial large subunit ribosomal RNA
Rfam family: Eukaryotic large subunit ribosomal RNA
Source: RNAcentral